GGUGGGGACUCUAAACAGACUGCCUGUGCAAACAGAGAGGAAGGUGGGGACGACGUCAAGUCAUCAUGGCCCUUACGUCCGGGGCUACACACGUGCUACAAUGGAUGGUACAGCGGGCAGCUACAUAGCAAUAUGAUGCUAAUCUCUAAAAGCCAUUCACAGUUCGGAUUGGGGUCUGCAACUCGACCCCAUGAAGUUGGAUUCGCUAGUAAUCGCGUAUCAGCAAUGACGCGGUGAAUACGUUCCCGGGCCUUGUACACACCGCCCGUCAAGCCAUGAAAGUUGGGGGUACCUAAAGCAUGUUACCGCAAGGAGCGUGUUAGGGUAA
This 328-nucleotide ribosomal RNA is filed under the name Sphingobacterium sp. Its description in RNAcentral is "bacterial SSU rRNA". It matches the Rfam family "Bacterial small subunit ribosomal RNA", at positions 1130 to 1465 of the family's 1533-position model. Lineage: Bacteria; Pseudomonadati; Bacteroidota; Sphingobacteriia; Sphingobacteriales; Sphingobacteriaceae. The record is from RNAcentral.